AACGAACGCUGGCGGCAUGCCUAACACAUGCAAGUCGAACGAGACCUCCGGGUCUAGUGUCGUAUGGGUGUGUAACGCGUGGGAACCUUCCCUCAUGUUCGGCAUAACUCUCCGAAAGGGGUGCCAUCACCGGACAAUGUCUUCGGACCAAAGAUUUAUUGCCUCUGGAUGGUCCCGCGUUGGAUUAGCUAGUUGUUAGGGUAAAAGCCUACCACGGCGACGAUCCAUAGCUUGUUUGUGAGGAGGAUCAGCCACACUGGGACUGAGACGCGGCCUAGACUCCUACGGGAGGCAGCAGUGGGGGAUAUUGGACAGUGGGCGGAAGCCUGAACCAGCUAUGCCGCGUAAGUGAUGAAGGCCUUAAGGUUGUAAAGCUCUAUUACCCGGGAUGAUAAUGACGGUACCGAAAGAAUAAGCUCCGGCUAACUCCGUG
This 433-nucleotide ribosomal RNA is filed under the name uncultured bacterium. RNAcentral describes it as "partial 16S ribosomal RNA". It matches the Rfam family "Bacterial small subunit ribosomal RNA", at positions 29 to 507 of the family's 1533-position model. The record is from RNAcentral.